This 3438-nucleotide unclassified non-coding RNA is filed under the name Leishmania donovani. RNAcentral's name for it is "gene:LdHU3.29.3810(CDS-product:heat_shock_protein _20_putative)". The record is from RNAcentral. Lineage: Eukaryota; Euglenozoa; Kinetoplastea; Trypanosomatida; Trypanosomatidae.
AGGACAUCCCCAGAGCCCUUCUACCCACGCCAAUACGCACGUCUCUGAACGUUUCUCCUCACCUUCUCUACUAACUUCUCGCGCGCCAUCGUUGCUUCACUGUGUCGUCUACGCCGACCUCCUCUUUCCUUUCUCCCCUUUUAGUGGUUUCCUUUUUUCAGCGGCAUUUCCCUUUUUUUUGCUUGGCGCUCCCAAUUCGUCCGUUUCUUGUCGAGCUGCCGAUGUGGAGCCCGAGCAACAAGAGGGACUCGCUCAUCAACAGCGACGACGCCCUCUUCCCUUUUCUCCUUCAUUUUCCUGGUUUACAUCCGCGUCAAAUGUUCAGCUCCUUCUUCUCAUCGCGCUCGCGCGGGUCGUGGAUUCCAGCCGUCGAUAUAUCGGAGCAGGACGACGGCUACACACUUGUUGCUGACCUGCCAGAAGUGAGAAAGGAGGACCUGCGUGUGUACACGGAGAGUUCGAGCAUCAUCUGCAUCUCUGGCAACCGCAAGCACAUCCUAAAGCAGGACGAGCACCAGCUGCUCGUUGCGGAGCGCGGCGCCGGCCGCUUUGAACGGUGCUUCGACCUCCCCACUUCCGUCGACAGCAGCAAAAUCAAGGCCAGCUUCAACGAUCAACAGCUGAAUGUGUCCAUUCCAAAACUGCGAAAUUCGAGGUCUGGAACGUCCAACACAGUCACCAUCGACUAACGGUGCUGCCAUACGGUGAGAUGAUGAGCGACCAGAAGCGGGAGGAGGAAAUGAAGAGGGACGCAGGCGGGUGCACCGGCUGACGCCGCGGAAUGCGAAGCCUCGCGUACGCCCUCCGACGGCUCUGUUGCAUCUGCCACAUCUUUUCGGGCUUCCGAUGGAACACUUGGUCACCGGUCUUCGACGCCAGCCCAACAUCGCCCAAAGCCGCGCUCACGGGACGAUAGGAGGCGAUGCUCGCCCAGCUGCGCACGGGUGCCUUGACCGUACUUCGGAUUCCUGCAGCGGCGGCUGGGUGGCGGCGACAGCAUGGAGUGCUGAGGGCGUGCGGCCUACUAGUGCGCUAGCGCUGUGGUGCUUGCGCGCCCGCCAGAGCCUCCGCCCCCGCCUUUGGAAGGCGCGCGGCCUCGGGAGAAGGUGGAGUGCCCCCUGCUGCCUCACACUCACGGCAGCGUCCGGCCUGUCGCGGUGCGUGCGGGCAGGCCAACCAGCCACGCCUCCUCCCUGUGGCAUCGACGGAAAGGGAGCGCGAGUGCAGCGAACCCCCUCCCCGGACAGCAACGUCGUGCUGAAGCAAAUCCCAAGGUCGGAAAGUGCGAGCACGCUGCAGCAUGCGCUGCCAGCCACAGCUGGCGUGCUGCGCCACAUCCAGUCACGGCAUGCAGAGGUCAGCCGAGCAGGAGUGAUGGGCGAAAGCGGCGCGAAGAGAUCCAUACCGAUCGACGCCGAGGCGCACGCGUGCGCAAGCAGGCGGCACCUCCUCCAUCCGACCGGGCCGGCCGAUGAGGCACGGAUGCCGGAAGCAGGACGAGAACACCCCCGAAUGGCACCAUCGAGCCCUCCAGGCUCCCAUGUGGAGAGCCGCCACGCCAUCCUAUGGGGUGCCGCGGCUCGAGGCAGCUGAGAGGGAGAAAAGCAUGGCAUACAGGCAGGUUGUGCCGGGUUUCAGAGGGCCAUGACCUGAGGCUGGCCCGCCCCCUCCUUGAACUCUCCCGGCAUGCGCCUCGGCCACGCCCUUAUUGUCCGCACGACGGGCGCCACCGCUCGCGCCCUCGAGCAGGAGCCCGGGCACGGACCGCGUGGAUCAAGGCAUGCAGCCCACGCGAGUCUCCGUGUGGCGUCGAUGGCGCAGCACGUGUGCGAAGAAGGGACGAAGGACGAAAAGAGCCCGCAAGGCGCAUGGCCCGAUCCGUCGGCAGGGCGGUUCGCCCUGGCUGGCCAGGGUUUCGCUGUAGCACAGCACACGUAGGUGAGCUGCAGUCUUAUGCGUAUCUUCACCGGCUUGCGCGUUGUAGAGUGACGCCUUGAGACGAAAAUGUCUCUGGUCUCGACGUGGUUCUGCAGUUUGUGUUCUCUCGUGUGUCGCGAAUUUUUUUUAGCGUUUUUAUUCUACAUUUAUGGGAGGGCCCUUGUCGUGUAAAGUUUUGGUGGUACUCGUUGUCGAAUAUAUCUGCAUCUCUCUCUAGCAGCGUUGUUAUCAUCGUACAUCAUCGUGCGCUGGACGUCUUUGUAUUGCCGUUUUGCACUCUACCUUUGCUGUCCGGCGAUGCACGCUUGCCGGUACCCCUGCCCCCUCCACCGUAUUAGCUGCAGUGCUCUUUCUGUCGUGUCGGUGAUGUUUCACAUAUGGCGUGUCGUAUCUGUUUUGUCGUUAUUAUUUCCCUUUUUUCGUUUCUCCGACCUCCGUCUGAACAUGAGCAGUUUUCGUCUGGGCUUUAUUGAUUUUUUUCCACAGUCUGCCCCUUUUAGCGCCUUCCUCCUCCCCCGCUCUGCCGGUCUCUUCGCUGUCCUACCCCCCCCCCUCCCUCAUUUUCUGCGCUCUGCGCCCUAUUCUCGUGUACACCAAGGUUGUCUUUGAUGCCAUCUUGCAUUGCUUUUUCCCUUCUUAUGAUUUCGCCUCUUUUGGCCCGUCGCACCUCAGCUCACGCAUGACAUCCUCCUUUUUUCCAGCAUGCGGUGCCUGCAUUGGUGUGUGGGCGUGGCAGAGAAAGGUGUAGGGAUAUUCACAGAGGGGCGCAGUGACUGAGACCAUGCCACCGUUCCCCGCUGCUACGCACCCCCACGCCUUUGCUUGUUUUGUGUGUGGUCGGAACGCAGAGGGUGUGGAGGUGCAUUCUCUGCUGCUCAUGCAUAAGGGAGAGCGCCAGUGGCGCGGUGCGAGGGGAACGCGAGGUGAAGCUAAAGGGCACUACACCACACACAUUUUGACACACACAGACAAAGGAGGAAGUCACGACACUCCGGCCGUGGGGCAUCGCUAUCGAAGUAGGCGAGGUGUCUUCAGUGUUUUGCUCCGCACAGCGGAUACGCAACGCUGGGCGCAUGCUGGCUUGCGUUCGCGUCAUACGCCCAACCUACGAUGCUGCGGUGUGGCCUGGCCUUCGCUGACACGGUGCGGUGACUUCGAUGGGCACUCAUGGAUGCAGGUGGAGGGACGCCAUUUGUGUGUUGGACGGCCCCCCUCUCCCAAUUCCGUUUCACAAGCCUCUUUUUUUUGCUCUCAUUCUCUUCUGCCUCUCUGUGCACUUCUUUCCUCGCCAUCCAACCUUCGACUAAAUCUCGGUUUCACCGCCCCCCUCCGUCUUGCACCCUCAUACCUCUGUACAUUCCCACUCCACCGGUGCUUGCACACACCCUCACACGCACCUUAUCGGCCUCACCAUUCUCGUUGUGGGCCCGUGUGCUCUCCUACGGUUUUCAUUCACGCGCCUCGUCGUCCCAUCGCUUCACCUCUUCUUGUGACACAUAG